GGAUGUGCCCAGAUGGGAUUAGCUAGUAGGUGGGGUAACGGCUCACCUAGGCGACGAUCCCUAGCUGGUCUGAGAGGAUGACCAGCCACACUGGAACUGAGACACGGUCCAGACUCCUACGGGAGGCAGCAGUGGGGAAUAUUGCACAAUGGGCGCAAGCCUGAUGCAGCCAUGCCGCGUGUAUGAAGAAGGCCUUCGGGUUGUAAAGUACUUUCAGUGGGGAGGAAGGCGAUGAAGUUAAUAACUUCGUCGAUUGACGUUACCCGCAGAAGAAGCACCGGCUAACUCCGUGCCAGCAGCCGCGGUAAUACGGAGGGUGCAGGCGUUAAUCGGAAUUACUGGGCGUAAAGCCGCAGGCGGUCUGUCAAGUCGGAUGUGAAAUCCCCGGAGCUCAACCUGGGAACUGCAUUCGAAACUGGCAGGCUAGAGUCUUGUAGAGGGGGGUAGAAUUCCAGGUGUAGCGGUGAAAUGCGUAGAGAUCUGUGAGGAAUACCGGUGGCGAAGGCGGCCCCCUGGACAAAGACU
Molecule: ribosomal RNA, 525 nt
Filed under: Erwinia persicina
Lineage: Bacteria; Pseudomonadati; Pseudomonadota; Gammaproteobacteria; Enterobacterales; Erwiniaceae
Description: bacterial SSU rRNA
Rfam family: Bacterial small subunit ribosomal RNA
Source: RNAcentral